UUUCCAGACCGGAAUCUGAAGCUUGAUACGCAGACUUUUAAAGAAACGCCAAUGUGCUCAGGAGUUCAGAGAGGGAAAGUCAUCUUCUCCGUGGAAAACUAAGUUUCACUGUUUUCAAAGGAUUGUUUGGCAGUACUUUCUUAUUUGCUCUCUUGCUGCCUGGGCGGGAUGGGAGUCGCUGCUGACAUGAUGACACGCCCCCUUUUCAUUGCCAUCAUGGUUACGUCAUGGAUGUGUAUUCAGGGUCGGGACGAUUGUCUCAGUUCUGAGAUUGCAGUGAACUGCUCUUAUAUACCUGAUGGCAAAAGUGUUACCUGCACUGUUGAUUACUCAGGCGUAGAGGAACCUGAGAAAUGUCGGGUUAACGCAAG
This is a long non-coding RNA of Clupea harengus (Atlantic herring), 371 nucleotides long. Lineage: Eukaryota; Metazoa; Chordata; Actinopteri; Clupeiformes; Clupeidae. The record is from Ensembl.